UACAGAGGUCCCAAGCGUUGUUCGGAUUCACUGGGCGUAAAGGGUGCGCAGGUGGUUCGGCAAGUUUGACGUGAAAGCCCCGGGCUUAACCCGGGAAUGGCGUUGAAAACUGCUUGAACUGGAGGGUCGGAGGGGGGACUGGAAUUCUUGGUGUAGCAGUGAAAUGCGUAGAUAUCGAGAGGAACACCAGUGGCGAAGGCGAGUCUCUGGACAACAUCUGACACUGAGGCACGAAAGCCAAGGGAGCAAACGGG
Molecule: ribosomal RNA, 254 nt
Filed under: uncultured bacterium
Lineage: Bacteria
Description: partial 16S ribosomal RNA
Rfam family: Bacterial small subunit ribosomal RNA
Source: RNAcentral